AACAUGCAUGUCAAAAUGAUUUACUGUAUAUUUUACGAUUCUCAAGUCUCUAACUGUUUCUUCUGGCUUACAAAAAAACCAGAUGCAGAUCAAUUAGCAAUGUAGUUCAACCCCAAAAUAGCUAUGGCACUGUGACUUAUGCAUAUCUGGUAGCCAUUUGUAGUUGUUUUUGGUUGUAGCACACAAUCUUGAUACCAAGGCUACCAGGAAUAAAGUGAAACAGCCUCAAAAUGAAACAUAACCAAAUAACACCCGGUCACAACCUACAUUAGCUGUAGAAUAAUCAUCUCGAAGGACCUGAUGUCGCUAUUUUUGUUGACACUUGACAAAAUUUGUAUAGCGAAACUGCUUUACUUAGGAAAUCAAUUUUGUAACCAAAUUAAAAUACCAAAUUCUGCUUGGUAUUUCCACUUUUGUAAUAUAACUACAAUAUUCCGUAAACUGUGAAUCUAUAAAUUUGACAAGAAAAAACACCCGCAGCAUCGCACGGGCUUACAUUUCCUAGU
Rosa chinensis is the source of this 506-nucleotide long non-coding RNA. RefSeq lists it as uncharacterized. The record is from RefSeq and is a predicted model, not a curated record. The transcript has 2 exons. NCBI's taxonomy places the organism in Eukaryota, Viridiplantae, Streptophyta, Magnoliopsida, Rosales, Rosaceae.